GCUAAAUGCAGAUCUAUAGUCUUAUUUGCAAUUUAUUGUAAGCCUACCAGCUUAACAGAUAAGUGCAAGGACUUACUGGAAAAUUUGCGGAGCAUUUCGUAAAUAACAUAAAAGGUAAGGGUUAAGACGAAACAUGAUGAAGAGAUAAGGUUCUCUAUCGCUUCAUGUGGUCUUGCAUACGAAUCAAUGGAUUCGUCUAGCUUUGCUCUAGCAGCCACGCCGUCGAAUCCGCUGUGGGAGAGGCUGUGACGGCGAGCAGCCACGCCAGAGGACACCCCUGUGGUUGUGCUCUGCGUGUCGCGUCGGACCUGGCAACCGCGGAGGGCGCCGUUGGCCACCGGGCCUUGUGCGAGCAGCACUUACAGGGGUGCCCCGCUCGGGCCGGCCGCUGUGGUUGUGUGCAGAGGCUCCGACAGUCGGUCGCCGCGGACGCGCGUUCGAGGGCUGGGGAGCCUUGCCUGACGUCACCGCCUUGCUUCAGCACCGGGCUGAACCAUGCACCGCGCAGCCGCCGUGCGGAGGGGUGCCGACCGCUGCGCUAUGAGCGGCCAUGGCGUGUGGAGAUGGGCCGGGCGCUGCCGCAAGCUGGGCAUCGUUGGCUGUAAGCCACCGCCGUCGCCUCUGCCGUUGGCGAGAAAUCGCGAUUCUGGCCCGGGGGAAGCAGCGAUGGAACGCCGUGCGACGCCGCACUGCUGCUACUGUGCGUAGGCACACCGUAACUGAGGGCCAUGACGGCGUUGAGACUCAAGGCCGGCCGUCGCAGAGGAGGGCACCGUGCGCCGGGGCUAUUUCGCCGGCUCUGUUCAAAGAGAAGAAGGGAAGAAGGGGGCUGACGCGGCUCGCCGCGGUCGGAGAAACCGGGCCGUGGUCACAUCCAUCACGCCGCCCGCCUCCCGUGAUGCAGUCGUGUCCAGCCGCUGCCACCACAUCAGGGAGUGAGGCCGCGACGCCACGCGCGUGCCUGCGCUCGCUGCCGGUCGAGAAGACCAUGCACACCGCCGUGUCGCUACACGCGCCUUGCCGGCAGGAGGGAGCGCUUUUGCCCGUUCGUUCUCUCCUUCUCGUCGGAAUUGCUCUCGCCGGAGAGCAGUGCUGAUAACGUGUUAAAUGUAAUCGAGAGACAAAUGAUAGAGAGAAUCAAGUCAGUCUUUAUUGAUAGAUGAUAUGAGUUUAUAUACAAUCUCAACAUGUGUCUCUAAAGGAGGCGACUAUUCCGGAAAGGUUGGCUUCAAAGGUUGCAACGCUUCAGGGAGAAAGCCCCUCCAUCGGUUGGAACUGCCGGUACGGGAAGAGUGGGGAUUAUCCCAUAUUUAAUGAUGGGUUAAUUAUUCUUAACAAUAUGAGCAUUUAAAGAACACACAUGGCUAGGAUUUCAUGUGUGACUAAGACAUGUCGAUAAUGGUGUCGCCAUGGACAACUACGAGCUCCCAACCGCACUCGACCUUCCGACCAUGGCGAAGAGACAAAUAAGAGAGAGCAAUUGAUGAGAUCUAGGGGAUUGACAACCUUCUUAUCUUUGUUGGGUGCAAGCAUUUGCUUUUUGUGUGUAUUGAAACCGUUCACGUUGUUUGUGUGGCGUCCCUUUCUGAUUAGAUAAACCUUAGUUCUUAACCGAAGGAAAUACCAUCUGCUACUAUACUACUUCACCCUCCCUCUUCAGUGAAACCC
Molecule: ribosomal RNA, 1668 nt
Filed under: Triticum aestivum (bread wheat)
Lineage: Eukaryota; Viridiplantae; Streptophyta; Magnoliopsida; Poales; Poaceae
Description: partial small subunit ribosomal RNA
Source: RNAcentral